This is a non-coding RNA of Benincasa hispida (wax gourd), 2319 nucleotides long. NCBI's taxonomy places the organism in Eukaryota, Viridiplantae, Streptophyta, Magnoliopsida, Cucurbitales, Cucurbitaceae. The record is from RefSeq and is a predicted model, not a curated record.
AUAUCUCAACACUCUCAAGUUCCUUCUGAGUUGGAAUUUCUUCUUCUUCUUCUUCUUCUUCCCCUCUGCUCGUCUUUGCCGCUUCAUUUCUUUGCUUCUGUAAAUCUUGUUUUUCUUCUCUCAAAGUCUCACUGUAACACAUUUAUCCCUCUGCAUACUAUUUUUCUAUCUCAUAUUUGUCAAUGAAGUCAGCUUUGCAAUUGGGGUUUAGGAGUUUCCUUCAUCCCUCCAGUGAAUCAGAGUAGGUUGAGAGUUGCAACAUUGAUACCUAAUGUGCAAAGGAAUGUAAUAGCGUCGGAUCAAUCCUCUAUAACUUUAUCCACACAGAAUUCAGAGCCUGGCGGGACAAGGAGAGAUAUAAGUCUGGAAAAUGACUGUAAAGCGGACAUUCAAAGUUUUAAGGAUGACCUGUCGAGAAUUGAGGCUAUGACGGUCCAAGAACUAAGAAUGACAUUGAGAAGCGUAGGUCUUCUAGCCAAAGGGCGUAAGCGUGAACUUGUAACUGCACUGCAAUGCUUUGUGGAGAAUAAAACAGUUGGUAUGCAUUAUUUGUCUACUGCUUAACAUGGCUAGAGAUUGGAUGUAUUGACAUGAAACAACAGUUGGUAUCAUUUAUAUUCAUAUAAUCAUAUCUCCUUUUUUUUGCUGUUGGUUUAUUUAUGAGGCUCAAGAAGAGAAGGGAAGGGGAAAAGAGGACAAAUAUUUUUAGUCUAGAUAUUAUGAAUGGCUAUGAUGUAUUGACAUGAAACAACUGCUGAAAUUUUAUUAGUUGUGUCUAUAGGAGAUUGGAUGGAUAUUACUGUCUAAUAACUGUUUGGCAAUGAUCAUUGGAGCUAUUGGCUCUAUUGAGAAUUAAUGUCUAUGCCUUCAAAAUUACGGAAUGAAAUAUCUACCGGUUUUGUUUUCCAAUCCAUGUUGUACCGUCAUUUUCUAAAAAUUUAUUGAAGAAGUCAUGAAACUUCUAGUCAAAACAUUUUAGCAUGGGAUUUAUUGUGAAAUUCUAUUAAUCCAAUCUUUGUAAGUUCCCUUCAUUAUUAAUCUGAAGAGCGUUGUCAGAGUUCUGAUAUUAAAGGUUUAGGUGUCAAUAGUCUGUUAUAGAUAUAAGCUCAGUCUUAUUAUGAAAUUGUAUGGCAAGUUCUUCCAACUGAUUUGUAACCAUUGGCCUAGUACUGAUUUCAACACUAUUAAUGAAGUCAUCUUAUGUUGUUAUUAGUUGCUUACUAAGGUAAGUCAGUUGUUUGUGUGUCUACCUUGCGUUUAAAUUCUAAUCUUCUUUUACGUAUUGCUGGCUUGUUUUGAUUUAUUUUUAACCUUUUUUUUAAUAUAUACUGUUUGUUUUUGGAUCAAUUUUUUGUUUGUUAACUCUGUAAAAGAAUUGUAACUCAUAAAUUUCCCCUCCCUUCUUCUUCUUCUUCUUCUUUUUUUAAUAAUUUAUUUCUUCGUCUUUUAGCCUCCAAAAAAUUAGAUCAUUCAUCAAUAAUGUCACAUAUGUUCCACUUGCGGAUAUUGAAGAACCUCUAAAAGGUUUCAUUUGGGAAUUUGAUAAGGUGAUUCUGAAACUGCAUCAUCAUUUUGUUUUAUAGUUACCAUGCAUAAUAUUUAUGACCUAUUUUAUUUUAUUUUUAAUAUGCAAGGAGAUUUCCAUCAUUGGGUUGACCUCUUUAAUCAUUUCAAUUCAUUUUUUGAGAAGCAUAUAAAGAGAAGGAAGGAUUUGCAGGUUGAGGAUAAUUUUGUGGGCUCCGAUCCUCCAUUUCCAAGAGAUGUGCCAACUAGUUUGCGAUUUUCUCUUCUAACAAGGAUGCGAUUUGCAAGAGCAUUUCAUUCUCUAUCUGCUCGGCAGCAAUAUACCUGCAUUCGCUUGUAUGCCUUCAUUGUUCUUGUUCAAGCAAGUGGCGAUGCUGAUGAUCUAGUUAGUUUCUUUAACUCUGAGCCUGAGUUUGUAAAUGAGUUAGUUGGCUUAUUAAGCUAUGAGGAUGAGGUUCCUGUAAAAAUACGAAUCCUUUGUCUAUUAUCAUUGGUUGCACUUUGUUUGGACCGGUUGCGCCAACCAACUGUGUUGUCUGCAGUGACUUCUGGUUGGCACUGUGGCAUCUUGUCCAGCCUCAUGUAGAAGGCUGUUGAUUCUGUGAUUACUAAUACUACAAAGUGGUCGAUGCUGUUUGCUGAAGCAAGGUGUCCUAGAUGCAAUUCCCGAGGAUAAAGAAGUUGGAAAGGAGGAGAAUGGAAGUAAUGGGUUGAUUCGCACAAGAAAGUGCAGGUGCAACAAAGGAGUAAAGAUUUGGUAUCGCGACCUCUUUAUGUUUUUUCUUGGGGAACUCU